This 73-nucleotide transfer RNA is filed under the name Giardia muris. It matches the Rfam family "tRNA". Rfam says of the family: Transfer RNA (tRNA) molecules are approximately 80 nucleotides in length. Their secondary structure includes four short double-helical elements and three loops (D, anti-codon, and T loops). Lineage: Eukaryota; Fornicata; Diplomonadida; Hexamitidae. The record is from Rfam by way of RNAcentral.
GGGUCGUUAGCUCAGUUGGCAGAGCGCGUGCUUCGCAAGCACGAGGCCGAGGGUUCGAUUCCCUUGCGAUCCA